CCUUUAGGGAUGUGUGGAGGAGGGGGGUCCAUCUUAUCUUCUAGGAUGUGCUGUGCCGGCCGACAGGUGAGGGCCGGUUGGAUAUCUACUCAUUAGUGGUCAAGCAUGAUGCUUUGAUUGCUAGAUAUGUGGCGCGAUUCUUACUAGAGCCAUGAGUCCUUUGGAGCUCGAUGAUGAGACCCAAGUAUGGGUCUUGGACUAUCGAAGUUGAUAUUUGCGGCCCC
This 224-nucleotide long non-coding RNA is filed under the name Elaeis guineensis (African oil palm). RNAcentral describes it as "long non-coding RNA (EGUI_LNC003662)". The record is from RNAcentral. Lineage: Eukaryota; Viridiplantae; Streptophyta; Magnoliopsida; Arecales; Arecaceae.